CCCUUAGAUGUCCUGGGCCGCACGCGCGUUACACUGAUGCAUUCAACGAGCUUAUAACCUUGGCCGAGAGGCCUGGGCAAUCUUGUUAACGUGCAUCGUGAUAGGGAUAGAUUAUUGAAAUUAUUAAUCUUGAACGAGGAAUUCCUAGUAAACGCAGAUCAUCAAUCUGCAUUGAUUACGUCCCUGCCCUUUGUACACACCGCCCGUCGCAACUACCGAUUGGAUGGUCCGGUGAAGCCUCGGGAUUGUGGUUCUUGCCGCUUUAUUGUGGCGUGACCGCGAGAACUUGUCUAAACCUUAUCAUCUAGAGGAAGGUGAAGUCGUAACA
Molecule: ribosomal RNA, 328 nt
Filed under: uncultured eukaryote
Lineage: Eukaryota
Description: partial 18S ribosomal RNA
Rfam family: Eukaryotic small subunit ribosomal RNA
Source: RNAcentral